Molecule: ribosomal RNA, 236 nt
Filed under: uncultured Bacteroidota bacterium
Lineage: Bacteria; Pseudomonadati; Bacteroidota
Description: uncultured Bacteroidetes bacterium partial 16S ribosomal RNA
Rfam family: Bacterial small subunit ribosomal RNA
Source: RNAcentral
UAAGUCAGAGGUGAAAUCCCACAGCUCAACUGUGGAACUGCCUUAGAUACUGGUGAUCUUGAGUUAUAGUGAAGUAGAUAGAAUGUGUAGUGUAGCGGUGAAAUGCAUAGAUAUUACAUAGAAUACCGAUUGCGAAGGCAGUCUACUAACUAUCUACUGACGCUAAUGGACGAAAGCGUGGGGAGCGAACAGGAUUAGAUACCCUGGUAGUCCACGCCGUAAACGAUGGAUACUAG